GUGGCUCGGGCCGCGUCGCCUAACGGUCCGGCCCGCGGCCCCAUCCCCGGUCCCUUCUGGCGCUCACCGAUGACCUUCUUGUCCCCGCCGGCGGGCGCCGCCGAUGUGAGGCCACCCGGGCCGCCACUACCCGCGCCGCUGCCCGUGGAGCCGGGCUUGGUGUCGGCGGCGCUGAGGGCGGCGGCGGGGGCGGCGGGCGGCUGCUGGGUCUCGGCCUCGCUGCUCAUGGUUGCGGUGAUGGUGACUGGGGCCGGCGGCGACGGCUGCGGCUCCUCCCGGGUGUGAUGGUGACUAGGCCGGCGGCGGCGGUGGGGCUCUCAGGGCUCUCUGGGGUCCGCUCUCCGCUCCCGCUACCGAUCGAACUAGCGAGAAUGGCGGGACGGGCGGGAUAAGCCCCGCGAUAGACCCGCCCUCGUCCUCCCCCAUUGGUCCGCAUCGUUGUCCAUCUCACCACCUGACCGGGUCUCUAGCGCCUAUUGGCUCACGCUCCGCGGCUCCUGCGCUCUCAUUGGUAUCUUUAGCGACUAAUUCGCCCGACCCACAGCUUCUCAGGCCUCCGCCGCCAUAGAGACCGGAACUAGAAUGAGAGCCUCGGCCGUGAGCACCAUAGAGUACCGGGAGGACGCGCAGAGGGAACGUUCCCAGAUGGGGCUGCGCUCGUCGCGCACGUGGGCCGCGAUCGCCGGGCCUACUCCGGCCUCCUAGAAGGGGCUCCUUCCCACGGCUGGGUGAACGCCGGGGCCUCCUUAAUGGGUCAGGCUUUUGGUGAUCCAGUCACCUUGGAGGGACCACGCAGGCGCUGGAGCUGCCACGACUCAGCGUGUUCAGGGCGGGGGUGAUCGUUUCCCCCGGCGUCCGAGGAAAUGUAUUUCAUACUGGCCACAAAUCAGAUUUAAUUUCGCCUCACAUUUAUUGGAUGUUAGGGUUUUUGACUUUAUAAACUAAGCACUGUAGACAAGGAUUGCUAUCCUUGUUUUUAUACACUGUAAAACACACGCUGCCUUCUUUCUG
RNAcentral lists this long non-coding RNA (1011 nucleotides) under Mus musculus (house mouse). RNAcentral's name for it is "long non-coding RNA chr4:119294136-119295147". Lineage: Eukaryota; Metazoa; Chordata; Mammalia; Rodentia; Muridae. The record is from RNAcentral.